AUACGGAGGGUGCAAGCGUUAUCCGGAUUUACUGGGUUUAAAGGGUACGCAGGCGGUAAUUUAAGUCAGUGGUGAAAGCCUACAGCUCAACUGUAGAACUGCCAUUGAAACUGAAUUACUUGAGUAUGGUAGAGGUAGGCGGAAUACAACAUGUAGCGGUGAAAUGCAUAGAUAUGUUGUAGAACACCGAUUGCGAAGGCAGCUUACUAAACCAUUACUGACGCUCAUGUACGAAAGCGUGGGGAGCGAACAGGAUUAGAAACCCGUGUAGUCC
This 274-nucleotide ribosomal RNA is filed under the name uncultured bacterium. Its description in RNAcentral is "partial 16S ribosomal RNA". It matches the Rfam family "Bacterial small subunit ribosomal RNA", at positions 523 to 796 of the family's 1533-position model. The record is from RNAcentral.